AUUCCUCUCAGUUCCGUAUCAUCUGCAAACUUGCUGAGGGUGCAAUCCAUUCCAUCAUCCAGAUGAUUAAUGGAGAUGUUGAACAAACCAGCCUCACCCCUG
Chelonoidis abingdonii (Abingdon island giant tortoise) is the source of this 102-nucleotide non-coding RNA. The record is from RefSeq and is a predicted model, not a curated record. NCBI's taxonomy places the organism in Eukaryota, Metazoa, Chordata, Testudines, Testudinidae.